This 135-nucleotide small nuclear RNA is filed under the name Leptotrombidium deliense. Its description in RNAcentral is "U4 spliceosomal RNA". It matches the Rfam family "U4 spliceosomal RNA". Rfam says of the family: U4 small nuclear RNA (U4 snRNA) is a component of the major U2-dependent spliceosome. The structure of U4 snRNA from yeast and human has been reported. Lineage: Eukaryota; Metazoa; Arthropoda; Arachnida; Trombidiformes; Trombiculidae. The record is from Rfam by way of RNAcentral.
AGCUUUGCGCAGAGGCAGUACCGCAGGCAGUGAAGGUCCUCCUGAGCCGUGGUUAUUGCUAGUUGAAAACUUUUCCCAAUACCCCGCACUGCACUGCAACGCGGUGCAGGUGCAAUUUUUGGAAGCCCGGACGGG